UAUUUAAAAAAAACAAGAAUCAAUGGUUUAUAUGAUGCGGCAAGGCUUAUUCUCACAAUUUCUCUUUCAACACUCUCUCUCUUCCUCUCUCACUUUAAUUGUCAAGUUCUCUCCAUCGCCGCAAGAGGCUUUUUUUUCUGUUCUCUCGAAAAGGGCACUUAGAUACCAACGUGGUGGCAGAGAAGAGAGCGCUUCAGACUGUCCGCGCUGCUCCUGCUAGGACUGCUCCUCAUAGGGGAUCAUAUAUUUUCGAAAAACACAAGUCGGAUAAAAAGGAACAGUCUCUCCCAACUUGCUACCCGAGUCUGCUUUGACAUUUUCCCACGUAAAAAGGACGUGAGGACUUGCAGUCCCUGCGUUAAAAGGACAAGAUCACCAACAGAACUAAAGCCAACCUAACUAAAGCAGCUGUAAACGUGGGCUUGUAGAGGACGGAGAGUAUCCAUUCUACCACGCUCCAGAUCACCACUAGACAUUCUUCAGAGGACAAGAAAUCCAUGCUGGACAACCCAGCCUUCUAUCUACGACCAAUCUAUCGAAGGGCAGUUCAGAGUAAAUACUGUAUUUAUUGCAUUUUCCUUUUUCAAAUGGGUGGUUAUUUAGAAUGCAUAAGAUACUGUAUUUACGAUAGCAUUGUUUCUUCCUUUGUUACUUUUUCUUCCCGCUCUUUUUCUCUCAAACCCAACCCCCUUUCUUUGUGUAACCAGCCGUCAUAUCUGUUCCAUCCGCUAAGGACAUUUUCCUUUAUGAUAAUGUGUUCAUAAUAAUAAUAUUGAUAAUCAAAUCAAAUUUAUUUA
This is a long non-coding RNA of Oncorhynchus tshawytscha (Chinook salmon), 797 nucleotides long. NCBI's taxonomy places the organism in Eukaryota, Metazoa, Chordata, Actinopteri, Salmoniformes, Salmonidae. The record is from Ensembl.